UACAAGGCAUGAACAUGCCAAAAGACAUGGACACACAUAAGCAUUACAUCGAACAUCUUGUUUAAAAGUUUGUCCGUGACAGGCUGGACAGCUUCUCCUUCACUUCCGCCCUCAAAGCUUGCUCGAAUCUUCUCGCCCUCGAGGAAGGGAUGGCCCUGCAUGGUCAUGUCCUGAAGUUGGGCCUGGGCGCCGACAUCUACAUUGCGACGUCGCUGAUGGACCUUUAUAGGAUGUGUUCUCAAGCACUGGAUGCUCGUAAGGUGUUCGAUCACAUGCCUGAUAAAGACAUUGUGGCUUGGAAUGUGAUGCUCUCUAGCUAUGCUCGCUUAGGUAUGAUGCGGCUCGCAGAACAGCUGUUUGAGGAGAUUCCCCUGCGAAAUGUUAACUCUUGGACUGCGUUGAUCUGUGGGUUCUUGGAAUGUGGAGAUUUAAGCGAAUCAAUGAUCGCCUUUCACCGAAUGCAGCUCCAUGGUUUGAAGCCUGACAAAGUCAUGGUUGUCACAAUGUUAUCUGCUAUUGCUGAUCUAGGAAUGCUGGAUUCAGGUAAGUGGUUUCAUGAGUAUGUGAAGAAGAAUGAGAUUGCAAUUGAUGCUUAUGUUGGCAAUGCACUCGUAGAUAUGUAUGCUAAAUACGGCAGUAUCCAGGAUGCCUGACUAGUGUUCGAUGAGAUAAUUCGAAAAAAUAUUUCAUGCUACAAUUCUAUGAUCUUCGGACUGGCUGCUCAUGGACUAGGGGAGGAAGCUCUUGAAAUAUUCACAGAUGCUGAGAGAACUGGGAUUGGAAUAGAUGACAUUACUAUGACUGCGGUUCUAACUGCAUGCAGCCACUCUGGCUUGGUCGAGGAAGGUCUGAAGUACUUUAAAACAAUGCAAAAUGUUUAUGGCAUUGAGCCUAAGAAGGAACAUUAUGGAUGCAUUGUUGAUCUUCUGGGAAGAGCUGGAAGAUUUGAUGAGGCAAUGCAGAUCAUAGAGACCACAGAGGAUGAUUCUUUCAUAUUGGGAACGUUAGCUGCAGCUUGUAGGACUCAUGGAAAUCUUGGGUUAGCCAAUGAACUAGUAAAAAACAUCUCCAAGUUGGAUCCAACAAAUUGUGGGUUUCUAGUGUUGCAAGCUAAUGCUGAAGCAGCUAGUGGGAGGUGGGAAGAGGCUGUAAAUGUUAGAAGACUGAUAAAGGAUACUAGAAUCAAGAAGAGGCCUAGUUGCAGUUGGAUUGAAGUGGGAAAUGAAGUGCACGAGUUUGUUGCUAGUGACAACUCUCAUCUAAAUUCAGUAAAGAGUGCGAGGUAUAUACGUUGAAUAGUGGCACAGGAAGAAUGGUUUAGACAUUGAAUUUAUUGACAAAUAAAGCAGACCAUGUUAACAACACCUCAAGGCAUUAGAAGGUUAGCCAAGUGAUCUGUGACACUGUUUGCUUCCUCAGAAAGAAGACUAGAUGAGACAAAAUAAAAGAAGAGGCAGAUGUAGAUUGGCAAGGAUGAUGUUACCACCAAGUGAUGAAGCCGGUGUUUGUCGCUGCAUCGUUGUCUGGUUCAUCUUGCUAGGUUUUUGAAGAGGUUCUCCAGAACUCCCUGUGCGCUGGGAAGCCAUGGCCUUCAUGGCAACGUAUCUGGGAGCCCUGAGAUGGCAUGGAAGGAAACAUUGGGUUGUGAAGCAACUGUUUCUGUUGCUGCUGACACCCCUCCUUCGGCUUAAGAGAGAAGAGAAGGUGUUGAUGCUUGAAGUAGCCGACAACAUCUUCACCAGUACGUCGAGGUUGACGUCGGGGAUCAGAGUUUAGUUUGAUCUCAGACGUCUCUCUCUCCGCAUAAAUAAAUAAAUAUUAUAUCUCAGGGAUAGAAUUU
Molecule: RNA transcript, 1840 nt
Organism: Musa acuminata AAA Group (dessert banana)
Lineage: Eukaryota; Viridiplantae; Streptophyta; Magnoliopsida; Zingiberales; Musaceae
Gene name: pentatricopeptide repeat-containing protein At2g20540-like
Exons: 3
Source: RefSeq, a predicted model, not a curated record